AACGAACGCUGGCGGCAUGCCUAACACAUGCAAGUCGAACGAGACCUUCGGGUCUAGUGGCGCACGGGUGCGUAACGCGUGGGAACCUGCCCUUAGGUUCGGAAUAACUCCCCGAAAGGGGUGCUAAUACCGGAUAAUGUCUUCGGACCAAAGAUUUAUCGCCUUUGGAUGGGCCCGCGUUGGAUUAGCUAGUUGGUAGGGUAAAAGCCUACCAAGGCGACGAUCCAUGGCUGGUCUGAGAGGAUGAUCAGCCACACUGGGACUGAGACACGGCCCAGACUCCUACGGGAGGCAGCAGUGGGGAAUAUUGGACAAUGGGCGAAAGCCUGAUCCAGCAAUGCCGCGUGAGUGAAGAAGGCCUUAGGGUUGUAAAGCUCUUUUACCCGGGAUGAUAAUGACAGUACCGGGAGAAUAAGCUCCGGCUAACUCCGUG
RNAcentral lists this ribosomal RNA (433 nucleotides) under uncultured bacterium. Its description in RNAcentral is "partial 16S ribosomal RNA". It matches the Rfam family "Bacterial small subunit ribosomal RNA", at positions 29 to 507 of the family's 1533-position model. The record is from RNAcentral.